CCCGCUGAGUUUCGAUUUGUCGCAUCCGCCCAUCCACUUCGCGGAUAUGGCGCGGGCUAUGGGUGUGCAGGCCGUGCGCGUCGAGAAGCCGUGGGAAAUCAAACAGGCGGUGGAACAGGCGCUGGCGCAUCCUGGCCCGUUCCUCAUUGAUCUGGUCCUGGAAGGCGAUGUCCAUCCCGAGCGCGUUGGCAACACCUGCGGUCAAUAAACCGUGACACAAACAAGGAGCAUUCUGUGAGUGAAGCAUUGAGCGAGAAGAAUAUUAAAAGUUUUGUGGCCGCCUGGUACAAUGCGCUCGACACGCACGCCCCGGUGGAUCAAUGCCU
This 326-nucleotide unclassified non-coding RNA is filed under the name plant metagenome. Its description in RNAcentral is "partial contains 5.8S ribosomal RNA, internal transcribed spacer 2, and large subunit ribosomal RNA". The record is from RNAcentral.